GCAGGCCCUGGGGGGCGGGGCGAGGGCUGAGCCACAGCAGGCCGGCUGCGCCCCCUUCACACACCGAGCCCAGCUUCCCCGCCCCCGGAGCACCCCCCAGCGGUACCUUAAGCAGUCGUCUGAGCAGGGCCUUGUCUCGGUGGAGGCUCAGACCCGGAGAGGCCCCGCGUUCCCAGGACCCUUGGGUGGAGGCCGGGGACCUCACCUGGCAUCUUGGGCUCCCCGAUGCGGAGAACGUGGGGCCAGUGCUGGAGCGUUUUGAUAAAGAAAGGGACCUGACUUCCUGCCCACGGUGCCCACUUCCUCUGGGGGCAGACAUCGGGGCACCGGGCUCCUCUUCUGCAGACUCUCCCUCUCAGAACGGGCGGGGGGUUAACUCCUGAUGUCCCCCAGCGCCCCCACCCCGAUGGGCUGAGCCCCGUGGGAUCACUCAUCACCUACCGGGGCAGCAGGUGGUGGCCUGCCUGGCUCACCUGAACAGGUCCAGCUCAUGGACACUGACUGUGAACACAGGUGGCCAGCGUCAGAAGCCUGUCCUGGAGGAAGCUGCCCGCCGGAGCCACCAGGAGCUACAGCUGGGAUGAUGACGAGGCAGCUC
Aethalodelphis obliquidens (Pacific white-sided dolphin) is the source of this 598-nucleotide long non-coding RNA. RefSeq lists it as uncharacterized. Lineage: Eukaryota; Metazoa; Chordata; Mammalia; Artiodactyla; Delphinidae. The record is from RefSeq and is a predicted model, not a curated record. The transcript is spliced from 4 exons.